Molecule: ribosomal RNA, 1037 nt
Filed under: Streptococcus thermophilus
Lineage: Bacteria; Bacillati; Bacillota; Bacilli; Lactobacillales; Streptococcaceae
Description: bacterial SSU rRNA
Rfam family: Bacterial small subunit ribosomal RNA
Source: RNAcentral
AUACAUGCAGUAGAACGCUGAAGAGAGGAGCUUGCUCUUCUUGGAUGAGUUGCGAACGGGUGAGUAACGCGUAGGUAACCUGCCUUGUAGCGGGGGAUAACUAUUGGAAACGAUAGCUAAUACCGCAUAACAAUGGAUGACACAUGUCAUUUAUUUGAAAGGGGCAAUUGCUCCACUACAAGAUGGACCUGCGUUGUAUUAGCUAGUAGGUGAGGUAAUGGCUCACCUAGGCGACGAUACAUAGCCGACCUGAGAGGGUGAUCGGCCACACUGGGACUGAGACACGGCCCAGACUCCUACGGGAGGCAGCAGUAGGGAAUCUUCGGCAAUGGGGGCAACCCUGACCGAGCAACGCCGCGUGAGUGAAGAAGGUUUUCGGAUCGUAAAGCUCUGUUGUAAGUCAAGAACGGGUGUGAGAGUGGAAAGUUCACACUGUGACGGUAGCUUACCAGAAAGGGACGGCUAACUACGUGCCAGCAGCCGCGGUAAUACGUAGGUCCCGAGCGUUGUCCGGAUUUAUUGGGCGUAAAGCGAGCGCAGGCGGUUUGAUAAGUCUGAAGUUAAAGGCUGUGGCUCAACCAUAGUUCGCUUUGGAAACUGUCAAACUUGAGUGCAGAAGGGGAGAGUGGAAUUCCAUGUGUAGCGGUGAAAUGCGUAGAUAUAUGGAGGAACACCGGUGGCGAAAGCGGCUCUCUGGUCUGUAACUGACGCUGAGGCUCGAAAGCGUGGGGAGCGAACAGGAUUAGAUACCCUGGUAGUCCACGCCGUAAACGAUGAGUGCUAGGUGUUGGAUCCUUUCCGGGAUUCAGUGCCGCAGCUAACGCAUUAAGCACUCCGCCUGGGGAGUACGACCGCAAGGUUGAAACUCAAAGGAAUUGACGGGGGCCCGCACAAGCGGUGGAGCAUGUGGUUUAAUUCGAAGCAACGCGAAGAACCUUACCAGGUCUUGACAUCCCGAUGCUAUUUCUAGAGAUAGAAAGUUACUUCGGUACAUCGGUGACAGGUGGUGCAUGGUUGUCGUCAGCUCGUGUCGUGAG